RNAcentral lists this ribosomal RNA (400 nucleotides) under uncultured bacterium. RNAcentral's name for it is "bacterial SSU rRNA". It matches the Rfam family "Bacterial small subunit ribosomal RNA", at positions 30 to 431 of the family's 1533-position model. The record is from RNAcentral.
AUUGAACGCUGGCGGCAUGCUUUACACAUGCAAGUCGAACGGCAGCACGGGUGCUUGCACCUGGUGGCGAGUGGCGGACGGGUGAGUAAUGCAUCGGAACGUGUCCUGAAGUGGGGGAUAACGCAUCGAAAGAUGUGCUAAUACCGCAUAUUCUCUGAGGAGGAAAGUAGGGGAUCGAAAGACCUUAUGCUUUUGGAGCGGCCGAUGUCUGAUUAGCUAGUUGGUAGGGUAAUGGCUUACCAAGGCGACGAUCAGUAGUUGGUCUGAGAGGACGACCAGCCACACUGGGACUGAGACACGGCCCAGACUCCUACGGGAGGCAGCAGUGGGGAAUUUUGGACAAAUGGGCGCAAGCCUGAUCCAGCAAUGCCGCGUGAGUGAAGAAGGCCUGGUGUAAGAC